Molecule: ribosomal RNA, 334 nt
Filed under: uncultured Leptolinea sp.
Lineage: Bacteria; Bacillati; Chloroflexota; Anaerolineae; Anaerolineales; Anaerolineaceae
Description: bacterial SSU rRNA
Rfam family: Bacterial small subunit ribosomal RNA
Source: RNAcentral
CAGGUGCUGUCACUGGCUGUCGUCAGCUCGUGUCGUGAGAUGUUCGUUAAGUCCGCUAACGAGCGCAACCCUCGCUGUGUGUUAUAUGUGUCACACGGGACUGCCGGUCUUAAGCCGGAGGAAGGUGGGGAUGAUGUCAAGUCAGCAUGGCCUUUAUAUCCUGGGCUACACACACGCUACAAUGGCCAACACAAUAGGUUGCUAAGCCGCGAGGUGGCGCCAAUCCAUAAAGUUGGUCUCAGUUCAGAUUGUAGGCUGCAACCCGCCUGCAUGAAGAUGGAGUUGCUAGUAACCGCAGGUCAGCUAUACUGCGGUGAAUACGUUCCCGGGGCUU